UGUCAGUGAAGCCAGGAGCGUCUGGGAUCUCUAUUAGCACCAGGCUGUGUGAACAGACUUGGGCCAGAGUUGCAGCUGGGAAGAAUGCCCCUGGUGUGAACAGGGUGGUUCCAAAAGCGCGGCAGAGAGCCGGCCGGCAGGGCGGGCAGGGGCAAAGGAGAAUGAGUGAGAGCCAAGGAUGCGUCGAGACCCUUCAAGUCAAGGAGACACGUUAGAGCAGUGAGCAUCCUGGAGUGAAAAUGCAGGUCUGUACUAACCACCGGAACCUUUGAAAAUGUCUGCGUCUGUGGCCAAGUUGUGGAUGGUCAAUCCAGUGACCUUGGGACCUCUGAAGACUUGGUUAAUGACUGGGCCUCUCUGCCUGUAUACGUGUGGAUUUCCACCUCUCCCAGAGCAUCAACACACAUAAUCUUUUGUUUUGAUCCUGCAUUUGAGCCAACAAACACUGCAGGGCCUUAUAGAGUCUCUACCGAAAGCAUCUCGUGUUCUGCUUGUGCUGUGAUGCCAAAAAGUGUGACAGUACAUAGCUGUGAUUCUGAGCAGCUGUCACUGGGAGAAGAGGUGAGUGAUAUGUGCACUGCUCUUCUUGCUUUGGAAAAUCAAAAAGUAAAUCUCAACAGUCACUAGUAAUAGCACUGAAAAAUAGAGAGUAGGAUUGGGAAUUUUUAAAAAAUGUUCUGCUUAAUUCUUUUUCAUAGUUUCCAAACAUAUUCGAGCCACAGGGCCAUGUGGUUGGUGUGGGGGGCAGUAGCCCUGCUCCCCAGAGUCUUUGAGAAACCAGGUUCUUUUAUAUUAUGAUGAUUCUAUCCUCAGCACAGGGUCCCUCCAUGGGUGCUGCAGAAGGGGUGGAGUUUAGAGGUUUUAGGGCCAGGCCUGGAAAGGGUACCAUUACUUUGGGAUAAAACUCAAGUAUGUUAUGCUAACCUCAUUGCAAAAAGAGAAUCAAAAAUGUCUUCUUGUAUGUCGUUGACUUAAAAAAUACAUGCGCAACCUAGGAAUUCCCACUGUGGUGCAGUGGGUUAAGGAUCUGGCAUUGCCACGGCUAUGGUAUAGAUCACAACUGUGGCUCGGAUUCAACUCCUGGCCUGGGAAUUUCCAUGUGCUGUGAGUGUAGCCAAAAAAAAUAGGCACAAACUAAAAGCUGAGAGUUAAGUUUUACUUGGGGAAAAAUGAGGACUGUAGCCCAGGAGGCAGCAUUUAAGAUCACUCUGAAAUACCACCCCAAAGAGGCAGGGAAAAUAUAAGGAUCUAUGUGAUUUCAGUGAAGGGGGAGGUACAUGCAGCCAAGCACACAUUUUACGGAAGGCUGCUCUUAGUCUCGUGAAGGUUACUGCCAGUCACUGGGAGCAGACAACGCCAUGAAGGAUUUUAGCGUUUUUCCAGAUAUGAGGAGAUGCAAAAAUUAGGCUCACUAAAUCUUUUGAAAAUACCUAUCUGAAGACCUGUUCUGCCAGUUUUCCCAGAGCACAGAGUGCCUCACUCCUGAUCUCCUAGCUCUGCUCAGGGGCUGCUGUGGCUCAUGAUUUAAUUCAUGUAGAGGCAGAUGGGCAGCACCAAUCUCCAGUUCACAGUGUCUAAGAUAAACUUGAAAGUUCCCAGGAAUCUAUUUGCUUGUUUCUGCCACACA
RNAcentral lists this long non-coding RNA (1627 nucleotides) under Sus scrofa (pig). Its description in RNAcentral is "lncRNA (ENSSSCG00050025273.1)". The record is from RNAcentral. Lineage: Eukaryota; Metazoa; Chordata; Mammalia; Artiodactyla; Suidae.